This is a long non-coding RNA of Dunckerocampus dactyliophorus (ringed pipefish), 2898 nucleotides long. RefSeq lists it as uncharacterized. The record is from RefSeq and is a predicted model, not a curated record. The transcript has 4 exons. NCBI's taxonomy places the organism in Eukaryota, Metazoa, Chordata, Actinopteri, Syngnathiformes, Syngnathidae.
ACCUCCCUGUUGUGACCUGUCUAUAUAACACGCCCACACACUUGCCACAACCGGUGGGAGCCAAUUAUCAGAAUUUACCUUUCAAUGCAGACCCAGGUACACGCGUGCACAGAGGCUCUGAGGAUCGUGGGAGAUUGCUGCUCUGAACCGUGGAAUCCCUCAUCGGGAGGCCCAAUAUUGACAGGGAGCUUUUUUACACCUCUUUGAUACGUUUGUUUACUGUUUGGCGUUGAUGAAACUUGUGGAAACAAGUCUUACUUUGGUGAAAUCCAUACAUUCACAUGAAAAUAUGCACAGUUGCAAACUUAUGUCCGUGCUUGACAGUAAAAGUGACUCAUCUAUAAUGGUCAGCGAUGCAUAACGUAUGAAGUGCUAUAUUUGGUCCAAGUCAGUCAUCCUCACACCACUCUAAACUGAGCGUAAAUGAUCAUUUAUUUAGCUUGGACACCCCUUGAUAACCCAUGUCAAAGAUGCACAUGUCAGGUGCUUCAUCUUCAACACAUUCUUAAAUUAUAACAGCUUUACAAAUCGCCGCCCGCUCAGCAAGUGACAAGCUCGUCACCCGAGAUGCAAGAAGAGGAGGCGGGAUGAAGGAAUGCGCGGCACAGAGAAAAAACAGCAAGGGGAGUGAGGUGAUAUGGUAAGUGUGUGGGUGUAUAGAUUUCCCGCUGGGCAUGGCAGCUUCUCACAGAGCGUUGCCUCACAACAUGUGACACGCAAGGCACACGCUCGGCUGUACACAUGAACUCACGUAAACUUAAGGCCGGGGAGUGUCAAAAUACAGACUCCUGCUUAAUGGAGAUACUUUAUACCAGAGGUGUCAAACUUAUUCCACCAAGGCCUGUAUACUGAAAAUCAGAAAGGGGGCCACUGAGAUUGAUUUUUAUAUAUCGUUUUUAAUUUUUUUAAGUCUUUUUACAUUUUCCUCUAUUUUUCACUUUUGUUUUUGUUGAAUUUUUACAAUGUGCCGUGGGCCAAUGAAAAACAAGCUGCGUAAUUCAACUGGCCCCGGGCCAGAAUUUGCACACCCCUGCUUACGGGUCACGGAUGAGCUAGAACCUAUCCCAGCUGACUUCAGGCAAGAGGUGGGGUACACCCUGGACUGGUCGCCAGGCUGUGUGCAGUGAAUACGGGGGUCAUACUACAGUAUAUGCACUGUAAGCUAACUUUGGUGCCAUCUGCAUUUCCAUGGUUGCAGAAUGGAAAAGGCUCCAGAAGAAACCAUGGGCCCGUGUGGCUGGUAGAAACUCAACUACCGUCUAUUAUCUAUCUUUGGCCACUCAGGUGAGCAUCUAGAGACGUGUGUAGGCCACUGCAUCCCAGACGUUGCCAGAUGUUUGAAGGAUACAUGUAUUUUCAGCUCUUGGUAUCGUUUUAGGAUGUUAACCUGCAAACACAGUGUUAGUGCAUUCCAGAUGACUAACAUAGUCAAAGCAAUUUGGAAUUAUACCUUGUCUGACCCCUGACCCCAUGGCCUGUGUGCUUUCCUCCCAUGCUCCUCUGAGGCUCCAUCCACCUCCACAUGCUCAUUAAAUUGAAUCAAGGGUUGACGUUCUUCAACAAGGGGACGCCAAAAGGACUGCAAAAGGACUUCAGAUGAUUUUAGUAUUUUAAAUAAAUUGAUUAACUAUUACCUUUUUGUUCAGCAGAAGUCUGAUAUUCCGCUUCAUGUUUUGUUUAGUCUUCUCUUUUUGGGGAAACAUGUUUCCCUCUGCCUCCUCCGAGCAAUCGGGGGUCAUCGGGGAUGAGGCUGGAAUAUCAGGAUGAUCAUCAUCUUCUGAAGACCCAGUCAACUCUAAAAAGUUAUCCAUGUCUUCUGGCAUCUCAGUGUGGCUGACGAGCACUGACAGUGUAGGUCCACCUCAACUGUGGACAAGACAGAACUGCAAGCAUGUUUCUGACACUUUCUACAUAAUGGGCUCCACACACAGGAGACGACAAACGACCGCGAAACUCCGUGCCAACGCGUAGCAAACCCUGCACACGGGAGGCGACGAGCGGCUAUGGCCAGGGUUUAUCUUGAAAGGGGCUCUGUAAAUCCAAUCCAUUAAUAUUCUUAUUGGUGACAGCCUGGAUCCAUCAUCAUAUUCUAAGAAGCUAUGAUGAGCUGGCAUUAUUGUCCUACAUGAAAGGGACUGAUUGCAAAUGGCUCAAGAUUCUAUUUUUUUUCAACGCCAAAAAGUGGUUUAAAAGUUUAUGGUUUAAUAGUUUGUACAAAAUUCACAAUGACACAUUAAAGUCAUAAAAAAUUGUCGUUCGGCCCAAAUAACAUGAUUGGUCACUGACAGCUGGCUGCUAUUCUCAUGGAUUGUCAUAGCGUCCACACACACAAAAGCCGUCUCAGAGAGGCGAUCAACAAUUUGCAGCCUUGCUAUAGGCUAUGCAUUCAAUGAUAGCUGACAUACGUCGGGCGUAGCUUACGUACUCAAAGCAGGAAGAGGGCGAGAAAUAAUGCUUGCAGUUGGUUGGAGCUCUCCAGGCAGCUACGGUCCCUUUAAGUCACUAUAUUCCAAACACAAAUUGGCAUGCAGUUUCCUGAAAUGAACGCAAGGGUACUAAUUUACAAUCACCACAUCAUAUAGUAAGUAUAAGUCGCCAUUCUUGUCUUUGAUAUCGUUUAAUGCUGACAUUACGUCUAUGAAAGUGCAGCAUCACAAAGCAGUUCUUGAGGACAGUCACCUGCUAUCAAAGAGGGUUAUGUGAGGUUAAAACAAAGUUUGUUUGCUGUACUCGUGCAGUUUGUUUGGCCAAAACAGGCGGACUGAGGUUUGGUCUCCGGUGGUCUCAGUCUGAUGUCACCAAACACGAGGGAAGCAAGUGGAUGGUUGAGUGAAAAUCUAAAAAAAAUAAGUUACAGUGGUGAUUUCUUUUUUUUUUUUGCAUUUUAAAUGUUUCAGA